UACGUAGGUGGCAAGCGUUGUCCGGAAUUAUUGGGCGUAAAGCGCGCGCAGGCGGUCCUUUAAGUCUGAUGUGAAAGCCCUCGGCUCAACCGAGGAAGGUCAUUGGAAACUGGAGGACUUGAGUGCAGAAGAGGAAAGUGGAAUUCCCGGUGUAGUGGUGAAAUGCGUAGAUAUCGGGAAGGAACACCAGUGGCGAAGGCGACUACCCUGGCCUGUUCUUGACGCUGAGGCGCGAAAGCUAGGGGAGCAAACGGG
Molecule: ribosomal RNA, 255 nt
Filed under: uncultured bacterium
Lineage: Bacteria
Description: partial 16S ribosomal RNA
Rfam family: Bacterial small subunit ribosomal RNA
Source: RNAcentral